Cinara cedri is the source of this 1149-nucleotide non-coding RNA. The record is from the annotation of a GenBank genome assembly. Lineage: Eukaryota; Metazoa; Arthropoda; Insecta; Hemiptera; Aphididae.
AUGUACUAUAUGCAAUAAUUGUAGACUUGAAACAAUUCUUUUGGCAACAUGAAUUGAAAAAAGUUAUUUAGUAUUCUAAAAUCAGUGCUGUGUUUUCUUCAGUAGUGCCUGAUGAUUUAUUUCACCCAGCACUGAACUUUCUCCAACUAAAUAUACCGAUGAAUAGCUCUUUUCAUUUCUUUUUCAACUAUCAUAAAGCCAAUUAUUCUGGUAUAAAUCAUUUUUUACUAUUGUUCAACUGGGUUGAAACCAUAUCACAUUUAGAUACUAACUGUUGCGGCUGUUUUGCUAAUGCAAUUUUUAAGACGACAUAGACUUGAAGAUUAUUGCAGUUUCUCUUUGAUUCCGGUAAAAUACAAAUAUAUGUCAAACAGUAUUAUAGGAAAUAAAUAAAAAAUACUUCUGCUCUAAACCCUCAAAUGUUUGAGGGUUUGAUGUUUAAGUUUUAUGAUAGUUAUGCUAAAUGGAACAGCUAGUGAGAAUAGUAAUGAAGUACUUGUCUUCUUCUCCGGGCAUUUCAGUUCAGUAUAUACUAAUAUAUGUGACAAUUUCAGUGCUGAAACAAAUUCUGGGCUGAUUCACGAUUAUCUCAGCAAGUGCUACUUAUAUGUAGCAUAAAUUGAAAAAGGAUUAGCUAGUCUUAAAUGUAACACUAGUAGAUCAAUUGGUCCACACGAGCUAUUCAGUGUCUUUGCAUCAGAUAUGGUUGUCCUUAAGUUUUUCCAUGUGACUUUUAUUUAGGAAGUCAUUCGACACCAGGAUCUUUCUUGAAAUAUUGAAACUUGGUUUUCAAGUCCGAUUAUAUUUUUGAUGUUAAUAACUACAAACCAAUAACUAGGUAUGGGUAUCCUUAGUCAAAUAGGUAAACUUUUUCGAGAAAAUAUGAAAAGAUUCUUCACUUGAAAAUCAGAGCAAGAUUUCAGGUAGGAAAGUUAUUAACAGACUGAAAAAAAAAAAUAGAAAUAAAGUACGCAUUAUAGUGAAACCGGUGCAAUACUUGCUGUGCUCUGCCGAAUCUAAAAAAAGUGAUGGGUUUGCAACUUAAAGUUGGGCUAGAUAUUUAAAUUUUCAAUUUGUUACCAGUCCACCAUUGAGUGGAAAUAAAGUAAUAAGUAUCCACACAUUAAAAUGUGCUGAAAAAAAACACAG